AACGAACGCUGGCGGCAUGCCUAACACAUGCAAGUCGAACGAGACCUUCGGGUCUAGUGGCGCACGGGUGCGUAACGCGUGGGAACCUGCCCUUAGGUUCGGAAUAACUCCCCGAAAGGGGUGCUAAUACCGGAUAAUGUCUUCGGACCAAAGAUUUAUCGCCUUUGGAUGGGCCCGCGUUGGAUUAGCUAGUUGGUAGGGUAAAAGCCUACCAAGGCGACGAUCCAUAGCUGGUCUGAGAGGAUGAUCAGCCACACUGGGACUGAGACACGGCCCAGACUCCUACGGGAGGCAGCAGUGGGGAAUAUUGGACAAUGGGCGAAAGCCUGAUCCAGCAAGGCCGGGGGAGUGAUGAAGGCCUUAGGGUUGUAAAGCUCUUUUACCCGGGAUGAAAAUGACAGGACCGGGAAAAUAAGCCCCGGCUAACUCCGU
Molecule: ribosomal RNA, 432 nt
Filed under: uncultured bacterium
Lineage: Bacteria
Description: partial 16S ribosomal RNA
Rfam family: Bacterial small subunit ribosomal RNA
Source: RNAcentral